This 20-nucleotide transfer RNA is filed under the name Leptobrachium ngoclinhense. RNAcentral's name for it is "partial tRNA-Ile". The record is from RNAcentral. Lineage: Eukaryota; Metazoa; Chordata; Amphibia; Anura; Megophryidae.
AUCUAUGCCCGAAAGUUAAG